RNAcentral lists this ribosomal RNA (389 nucleotides) under Paracrocidura schoutedeni. RNAcentral describes it as "partial 16S ribosomal RNA". It matches the Rfam family "Bacterial large subunit ribosomal RNA", at positions 1928 to 2563 of the family's 2925-position model. The record is from RNAcentral. Lineage: Eukaryota; Metazoa; Chordata; Mammalia; Eulipotyphla; Soricidae.
CGGCCGCGGUAUCCUGACCGUGCAAAGGUAGCAUAAUCAUUUGUUCCUUAAUUAGGGACUUGUAUGAAUGGCUCCACGAGGGUUUGACUGUCUCUUACUUUUGAUCAGUGAAAUUGACCUUCCCGUGAAGAGGCGGGAAUACAAAAAUAAGACGAGAAGACCCUAUGGAGCUUAAAUUAAAUUCUGAAUAAUAAAUUUUGGUUGGGGUGACCUCGGAGCACAACAAAACCUCCGAGCAACUAUCAAGACCUACUAGUCAAGAUCAAUCAUAUUGAUCAACGAAACAAGUUACCCUAGGGAUAACAGCGCAAUCCUAUUUGAGAGUUCAUAUCGACAAUAGGGUUUACGACCUCGAUGUUGGAUCAGGACACCCAAAUGGUGCAGCAGCU